CGUCUUGAAACACGGACCAAGGAGUCUAGCAUGUGCGCGAGUCAUUGGGAAUCACUAAACCUAAAGGCGCAAUGAAAGUGAAGGCCCGCCUAGUGCGGGCCGAGGGAAGAUGGGCGGUUACGGUUUCCGUGCCGCUCCGCACUCCCGGGGCGUCUCGUUCUCAUUGCGAGAAGAGGCGCACCAAGAGCGUACACGCUGGGACCCGAAAGAUGGUGAACUAUGCCUGGUCAGGACGAAGUCAGGGGAAACCCUGAUGGAGGUCCGUAGCGAUUCUGACGUGCAAAUCGAUCGUCGGAACUGGGUAUAGGGGCGAAAGACUAAUCGAACCAUCUAGUAGCUGGUUCCCUCCGAAGUUUCCCUCAGGAUAGCUGGCGCUCGUCGCCUACGAGUCUCAUCCGGUAAAGCGAAUGAUUAGAGGCAUUGGGGUCGAAACGGCCUCAACCUAUUCUCAAACUUUAAAUGGGUGAGAUCUCCGGCUUGCUCGAACUUAUGAAGCCGCGAGACACGGAUCAGAGUGCCAAGUGGGCCAUUUUUGGUAAGCAGAACUGGCGCUGUGGGAUGAACCAAACGCCGAGUUAAAGCGCCUAAAUCGACGCUUAUGGGAUACCAUGAAAGGCGUUGGUAACUUAAGACAGCAGGACGGUGGCCAUGGAAGUCGGAAUCCGCUAAG
This 670-nucleotide ribosomal RNA is filed under the name Stigmatium cicindeloides. RNAcentral describes it as "eukaryotic LSU rRNA". It matches the Rfam family "Eukaryotic large subunit ribosomal RNA", at positions 650 to 1275 of the family's 3401-position model. The record is from RNAcentral. Lineage: Eukaryota; Metazoa; Arthropoda; Insecta; Coleoptera; Cleridae.